UGCCAGACUCCUACGGGAGGCAGCAGUGGGGGAUAUUGCACAAUGGGGGAAACCCUGAUGCAGCGACGCCGCGUGGGUGAAGAAGCGCCUCGGCGCGUAAAGCCCUGUCAGCAGGGAAGAAAAUGACGGUACCUGAAGAAGAAGCCCCGGCUAACUACGUGCCAGCAGCCGCGGUAAUACGUAGGGGGCGAGCGUUAUCCGGAAUUACUGGGUGUAAAGGGAGCGUAGACGGCGAGGUAAGCCUGAAGUGGAAGCCCGUGGCCCAACCACGGGACUGCUUUGGAAACUGUGUUGCUGGAGUGCAGGAGGGGUAAGCGGAAUUCCUAGUGUAGCGGUGAAAUGCGUAGAUAUUAGGAGGAACACCAGUGGCGAAGGCGGCCUGCUGGGCUUUUACUGACGCUGAGGCUCGAAAGCGUGGGUAGCAAACAGGAUUAGAUACCCCCGUAGC
RNAcentral lists this ribosomal RNA (448 nucleotides) under uncultured bacterium. RNAcentral describes it as "bacterial SSU rRNA". It matches the Rfam family "Bacterial small subunit ribosomal RNA", at positions 329 to 794 of the family's 1533-position model. The record is from RNAcentral.